This 654-nucleotide ribosomal RNA is filed under the name uncultured bacterium. RNAcentral describes it as "bacterial SSU rRNA". It matches the Rfam family "Bacterial small subunit ribosomal RNA", at positions 115 to 785 of the family's 1533-position model. The record is from RNAcentral.
GCGUGAGUAACCUGCCCUGGAGUGGGGAACAACAGUUGGAAACGACUGCUAAUACCGCAUAAGCCCACGGCCCGGCAUCGGGCUGAGGGAAAAGGAUUUAUUCGCUUCAGGAUGGACUCGCGUCCAAUUAGCUAGUUGGUGAGGUAACGGCCCACCAAGGCGACGAUUGGUAGCCGGACUGAGAGGUUGAACGGCCACAUUGGGACUGAGACACGGCCCAGACUCCUACGGGAGGCAGCAGUGGGGGAUAUUGCACAAUGGGGGAAACCCUGAUGCAGCGACGCCGCGUGGAGGAAGAAGGUUUUCGGAUUGUAAACUCCUGUCGUUAGGGACGAUAAUGACGGUACCUAACAAGAAAGCACCGGCUAACUACGUGCCAGCAGCCGCGGUAAAACGUAGGGUGCAAGCGUUGUCCGGAAUUACUGGGUGUAAAGGGAGCGCAGCGGACCGGCAAGUUGGAAGUGAAAACUAUGGGCUCAACCCAUAAAUUGCUUUCAAAACUGCUGGCCUUGAGUAGUGCAGAGGUAGGUGGAAUUCCCGGGUGUAGCGGUGGAAUGCGUAGAUAUCGGGAGGAACACCAGUGGCGAAGGCGACCUACUGGGCACCAACUGACGCUGAGGCUCGAAAGCAUGGGUAGCAAACAGGAUUAGAUAC